RNAcentral lists this ribosomal RNA (538 nucleotides) under uncultured Pseudomonadota bacterium. RNAcentral describes it as "bacterial SSU rRNA". It matches the Rfam family "Bacterial small subunit ribosomal RNA", at positions 8 to 522 of the family's 1533-position model. Lineage: Bacteria; Pseudomonadati; Pseudomonadota. The record is from RNAcentral.
AGAGUUUGAUCAUGGCUCAGAACGAACGCUGGCGGCGUGCCUAACACAUGCAAGUCGAACGAGAAAGGGGCUUCGGCUCCGAGUAAAGUGGCGCACGGGUGAGUAACACGUAGGUAACCUGCCUCCGAGAUUGGGAUAACCUGUCGAAAGACGAGCUAAUACCAAAUAAGACCACGGCUUCCUCGGAAGCAGGGGUCAAAGGUAGCCUCUACUUGUAAGCUAUCACUUAGAGAUGGGCCUGCGUACCAUUAGCUAGUUGGUGGGGUAACGGCCCACCAAGGCAAAGAUGGUUAGCUGGUCUGAGAGGAUGAUCAGCCACACUGGAACUGAGACACGGUCCAGACUCCUACGGGAGGCAGCAGUGGGGAAUAUUGCGCAAUGGGCGAAAGCCUGACGCAGCAACGCCGCGUGAGUGAUGAAGGCCUUCGGGUCGUAAAGCUCUGUCGGAGGGAACGAAUGCUCUUGAGGUUAACAGCCUCGGGAAGUGACGGUACCCUCAAAGGAAGCACCGGCUAACUCUGUGCCAGCAGCCGCGGUA